This is a non-coding RNA of Sus scrofa (pig), 2817 nucleotides long. Lineage: Eukaryota; Metazoa; Chordata; Mammalia; Artiodactyla; Suidae. The record is from RefSeq and is a predicted model, not a curated record.
GCCCUAAAAAGACAAAAAUAAAUUUAAAAAAAUAAAAUGGUUGUUGAAUGAAUAAACAUGAAUGAAUGAAUGGUUUCAGUAUUUCCUGAAAUCUGACCUCCAACCCCACCCCCUGAAGUAGUUACCCAAAGGCAGAAUACAUUACAAGCACUCCCUCCAGUGCUCGGGUUUUAAGCUCUGUGGUAGAGCCUCAAGGUAGUGUUGGGGUGAGGCCCUAAUCUCUGCGGUUGAACCAAAAGUAUUAUGCAAACAAGCCACAAAUGAUUGGUCUGCAACGGAGACCUGAGGGGGGCCUCCCCGCCUCUCCCCAUUCCUGCUCAGCUGCUAAAACCCUGUCCCAGCAAACCCAGGCUGGGCACCUGUCAAGAACAGAGGACCGACACUGGGGAGCCAGAAGAGGGGAGCUUCUUGCUCCAUGGGAGUCUCAGCCCAGACACUAGUCCAUCUUUAGCCUUUUCUUCCCUGGAGCUUAGUCUAUCCCCAACAAUUCUCUCCCCCACUCUUCCUCCCAUCUCCCACCACCACCUUCAUUCCCUCCAUGGCUUCCUAAUAGUUAUAGUGCGGGGUGAGAGGUACCCAAAACCUCCUAUCACCUGAUUUCAGCUCCUUGGCCAGAGAAGCUGUAGCCACCUCAUCCUGGUUCAGCCUGUCUCGUAGCUGCUUAUCAAUUUGAUUUUCAAUAUCUGUCACCAUCUCUGAAGUAGAAGGGCUGACAGACAACAGAAGGGACUUCCUGCCAGGGGAGGAGCUAUGAGCAGAGGGCAGCGAGAGCCCUCUCCUUCCUUGAAGACCAGGAAGAAUCGGUGAGACCCUCCUUCAGCUGAGAGCAACCCCGUCAAUCCAGGGAACCCUGGGGCAGGGGGUAGGUGUGGUGGGUAUCCCCCACAGAAGUCUCCGGACAGCCUUCUUGCUGACUCCGCCCCCUACAGGGGUGGGAGGCCCUCCCAGGGGCACUCUGUGUUCCAGAAAACCCCAAAAUAACCUGCCUUAGCUGUCCGGCUGCUAUUUCUGUCCAUCUUGUUUAAUUAUUCAAACCCAAGUUGGGGAGUGAACUAUAAAAAGCUCUCCUACUUGGGGACCCAGGAGAGCUGGGAGACUGGCCAGGUUGCAAUAGCAGCAGACCACAGGGUUUGGGUGAGGUCACUCGGUCCUGCCUCCUGCCUGAAAGUUCCAUCUGCUGUUUGCUGGCUUCCUCUGCUAGAAGACGGAAUCCAGGCCUCCCUCCCUAAACCUCCCUCAUGCCCUCAUUUCAGCAUCCCUCCAACCCUGCCUUGCCUGGGAGCUGGGCUCCACCCCCAUCUUCCUUUACUUGGGAAGUGCUUCCUCUCAGCCUCCUCCUUACUGACUGCUCCCUAGUCCUGGUUCUUAAUCUGCAGAAGGAAAGGAUCACAUGGAACCAAGGCCAGAUUCCAGAGUGGUGUGAAUCUGACAGUGUAGUACCAGGAUGCUCAAGACCUGGCAGAGCAUACGGAGUUCCCCGGCCAGGGAUUAGAUCAGAGCUGUGGUUGAAACUGACGCUGCAGCUGCAGAUCCUUUUUAACCGACGGUGCUGGGCCAGGGAUUCGCCCUGCAUCCUGGUGCUGCGGAGACCCUGUUGCACCACAGCAGGAACUCCUUCUUUCACUUGUCUUCAACAGUGGGCUUCCAAGAACACAUUUCCUUUGAAGAGGCAGGCCACAGCUAAAAGAUGUUUGAAAAUCCUCUCUGCUCCGUUAUGGAAUAUCUAUGCUAUGGAGUACUGCACAGCCUGGCAAAACAUGGAGUGAUCUGAGCCCACUGAUGCACAACAGUCUCAGAGAGAAGUUGCUCAGUGAAAAAAAGUAAGAUUCAGAGUUCCCUGGUGGUACAGUGGCUUAAAGAUCUGGCAUUGUCACUGCUGUGGCAUGAGUCCGAUCCCUGAUCCAUAGAACUUCUGCAUGCUUUAGGCAUGGCCAAAAAAAAAAAAAAAAAAAAGCAAGUCUCAGAGCAAUCUAUGUAAUAGCAGGUCAUUUAUGCAAAUAAGCAUCUCUGGGUAUACAUGCAUUAAUCAGCUACUUAAUGGUUAGUUGAUUUUCAUUCAGGGUCUCAUGCUGUCACACUCUGAAAGGGUUUAGGCUUCCUCACAUAUUUGGCACCUAGGAUGGGAGCCCUCAAGCAGGUGGAGUCCAGAAAACCUCUGAAUUUUUCUCCCUCUUGUCUGUCUUUGUGGUCUCUCCAGGAUGGGGGCUUCAGGAUGGCUAGACUUCUUACAACGUGGCUUAGGGCUCUACAAGUAUGUGUCCUAACACAGAGAGAUCCGGGAAUCAGUAUUGCUUCUUAUGACCUAGUCUUGGGUGUCGCCUAGUCUUGGGUGUCGCCUAGCACCACUUCUGUCACCCUUUACUGAGGAAAGCACAGAGGCCUAGCCAGGUUGUGGAGUAGAGGAUGGAGCCUCCACCUGGUGGGGUUUGGCAAGGUUUUAGAAGAGCACGUGGGAUGGGAAAUGUUGUCAUGGCCAUUUUUGGAAAAUACAUUUUGCCACAAAAAGUUCAUAUAAGUGAAUGCAAAUAUAUAGAAAGAAGGUCUGGAAGGAUCCAUACCAAACUAUCAAUAAACUUUCCCUCUGGGGAAAAUGGGGUGCAGAUACGUUUUACCUUACCUUCACGUGUGUCACUUGAGUCUUUUGCAUUGAGAUGCAAUAUAUGUUAUUUGUUUCAUGAAAAGGAAACUAAAGAGGAGAAGAAAGUAAAACUUUUGCUGUAAGCCUUUUGUAAUAAAAUUAUUUGGGAGUUCCCAUCAUGGCUCAAUGGAAAUGAAGCUGACUAGUAUCCAUGAGGAUGUGGGUUCAAUCCCUGGCCU